CCUACGGGAGGCAGCAGUGGGGAAUAUUGGGCAAUGGGCGAAAGCCUGACCCAGCGACGCCGCGUGGGGGAUGAAGGCCUUCGGGUCGUAAACCCCUGUCAGGAGGGACGAAGCCCUGAUCAUAUAUCAGGGUGACGGUACCUCCAGAGGAAGCCCCGGCUAACUACGUGCCAGCAGCCGCGGUAAAACGUAGGGGGCAAGCGUUGUCCGGAUUCACUGGGCGUAAAGGGUCCGUAGGCGGCCUGCUAAGUCGGACGGGAAAGACCCUGGCUUAACUGGGGAAUUGCGUCCGAAACUGGUGGGCUAGAGCCCAGGAGAGGAAAGUGAAAUUCCCGGUGUAGCGGUAAAAUGCGCAGAUAUCGGGAGGAACACCAGUGGCGAGGGCGGUCGCCGGGGGCGUUG
This 402-nucleotide ribosomal RNA is filed under the name uncultured bacterium. RNAcentral describes it as "partial 16S ribosomal RNA". It matches the Rfam family "Bacterial small subunit ribosomal RNA", at positions 338 to 742 of the family's 1533-position model. The record is from RNAcentral.